GGAAUGAGUAAGUAUAAACUUCUUACAGUAUCAAUUGGAGGGCAAGUCUGGUGCCAGCAGCCGCGGUAAUCCAGCUACCAAUAGCGUAUAUUAAAGUUUGUUCGCAGUUAAAAAGCUCGUAGUUCGGAUUUCUGUUAAUAAUUUAUAUAAAAUAUUUUGAUGAAUAUUUAUAUAAUAUUAACAUAAUUCAUAUUACUAUAUAUUUUAGUAUAUGAAAUUUUACUUUGAGAAAAUUAUAGUGCUUAAAGCAGGCAUAUGCCUUGAAUACUCCAGCAUGGAAUAAUAUUAAAGAUUUUUAUCUUUCUUAUUGGUUCUAAGAUAAGAAUAAUGAUUAAUAGGGACAGUUGGGGGCAUUUGUAUUUAACAGUCAGAGGUGAAAUUCUUAGAUUUGUUAAAGACAAACUAAUGCGAAAGCAUUUGCCAAGGAUGUUUUCAUUAAUCAAGAACGAAAGUUAGGGGAUCGAAGACGAUCAGAUACCGUCGUAGUCUUAACCAUAAACUAUGCCAACUAGAGAUUGGAGGUUGUUCCUUAACUCA
RNAcentral lists this ribosomal RNA (537 nucleotides) under Cryptosporidium parvum. Its description in RNAcentral is "SSU rRNA". It matches the Rfam family "Eukaryotic small subunit ribosomal RNA", at positions 511 to 1074 of the family's 1831-position model. The record is from RNAcentral. Lineage: Eukaryota; Apicomplexa; Conoidasida; Eucoccidiorida; Cryptosporidiidae.